RNAcentral lists this unclassified non-coding RNA (279 nucleotides) under plant metagenome. RNAcentral's name for it is "partial contains small subunit ribosomal RNA, internal transcribed spacer 1, and 5.8S ribosomal RNA". The record is from RNAcentral.
UUUCCGUAGGUGAACCUGCGGAAGGAUCAUUCCUGAGAUUUGAAUAAAGUUCUUCUUAUCUCUCUGUGCACGUGAAGUCCUCUCUCAAUCGAUCUUACACCUAUGCACCUAUCAGGUCAAACUUGUAUCUAACUGUGUGUACGACAACUAUCUACAGUCUCCUCUUUAUACCAAACAACAGACAUAGAAAGUCUUUUCUGCUUGAUCCAAACUUAACUCAAUACAACUUUCAGCAACGCAUCUCUAGGCCAUCCCAUCGAUGAAGAAUGCAACAGAGCG